GAACACCUCCCCAUGCAUUAAAACUCUCUAUUGUUUGAAGGUUUGUUGCAGGGUAAAGAUACCGUGGAAAAACCCAAGUGCACGAGACACUCACACAAGUGAUUUCCGGAGUUAAACGCUUCGAAGGCAACGUGUGACCAUGAACCUAUUCGUUGUCGUGGCCCUUACUAUUUGCUUGGUUUCAGCGGAUCGUCCCAAUGCCUGCUACAUGGCUCCGUCUAAAGGCCCGUGCAAGGCAAACAUCACGAGGUUCUACUUCAAUCCAAGAUCUCUGGAUUGCCUGAAAUUCAUCUACGGAGGAUGUGGGGGAAACGCCAAUAAUUUUGCCACAUAUCAAACAUGCAUGAAAACGUGUAAAUAAUAUUACGCACAGCACGGGAGCCUGAACUAUCGCAUGAACAAGCAAGGUGGGACAUCCUUGAGAAGCAGGAGCCGUACGAGGAGGACCUUGAACACGGGGUUAUCGGUCGACGCAUCAUUCAUCUGCACAUUGACAUCACCAGAGCUAUUAUCAUCAAAUAUUGCUGCCAUUCUA
Ornithodoros turicata is the source of this 535-nucleotide long non-coding RNA. RefSeq lists it as uncharacterized. The record is from RefSeq and is a predicted model, not a curated record. Lineage: Eukaryota; Metazoa; Arthropoda; Arachnida; Ixodida; Argasidae. The transcript is spliced from 3 exons.